GGUUUAUAAUUGGUUUAUAGAAAAUUUUGAAAAUUUUCUUAAAGUGUUCAAUUCACUUGUAGACUU
Molecule: transfer RNA, 66 nt
Filed under: Acanthosepion pharaonis
Lineage: Eukaryota; Metazoa; Mollusca; Cephalopoda; Sepiida; Sepiidae
Description: Sepia pharaonis tRNA-Ser
Source: RNAcentral